Molecule: ribosomal RNA, 430 nt
Filed under: Bacillota bacterium
Lineage: Bacteria; Bacillati; Bacillota
Description: Firmicutes bacterium partial 16S ribosomal RNA
Rfam family: Bacterial small subunit ribosomal RNA
Source: RNAcentral
UGGGGAAUAUUGGACAAUGGGCGCAAGCCUGAUCCAGCCAUGCCGCGUGUGUGAAGAAGGCCUUUUGGUUGUAAAGCACUUUAAGCGAGGAGGAGGCUACUUGGAUUAAUACUCUAGGAUAGUGGACGGUACUCGCAGAAUAAGCACCGGCUAACUCUGUGCCAGCAGCCGCGGUAAUACAGAGGGUGCGAGCGUUAAUCGGAUUUACUGGGCGUAAAGCGUGCGUAGGCGGCUUCUUAAGUCGGAUGUGAAAUCCCUGAGCUUAACUUAGGAAUUGCAUUCGAUACUGGGAAGCUAGAGCAUGGGAGAGGAUGGUAGAAUUCCAGGUGUAGCGGUGAAAUGCGUAGAGAUCUGGAGGAAUACCGAUGGCGAAGGCAGCCAUCUGGCCUAAUACUGACGCUGAGGUACGAAAGCAUGGGGAGCAAACAGG